AUGUUGCAGGUGAUCCCUUCCCACGUGAUGCAAUCUGUGCCGUUCUGCCAUGACGCGGCAAGGCCACCAUCCUGUGAGAGCCCAGUGAGGAACUUGAGGAGGGAGGCCUUCUCUUGCUCUGUGCAGGAGCUAGUGAUAGAGGCCAAGGACAUGAGCAUCAGAAGAACAAUGCCAAGGGAACUUAUCGGUAGUUUUCUGUCGUAUCUCAUGCGUGAAAGCUGGAGUGGCUGCAUGGUUUUCAUUUCUUAUGAGACUGGCAUAUGGGCACCAGAUGCUUAUUCUUUAGCUGGUUGCUUCUACAGUAUUAUAGAGCGUGCUCCUCCUUGUUCUGUACUUGUUACUUGUAGCAAGUAG
Molecule: ribosomal RNA, 354 nt
Filed under: Triticum aestivum (bread wheat)
Lineage: Eukaryota; Viridiplantae; Streptophyta; Magnoliopsida; Poales; Poaceae
Description: partial small subunit ribosomal RNA
Source: RNAcentral